Molecule: ribosomal RNA, 563 nt
Filed under: uncultured bacterium
Lineage: Bacteria
Description: bacterial SSU rRNA
Rfam family: Bacterial small subunit ribosomal RNA
Source: RNAcentral
AAGCUUAGGCGCUUAGAGGGGCUUCGUUCGAUAGCCGUUUGUAGGGUAAUGGCCACCAGGCGACAUCGAUAGCUUGUCUAGAGGUUGAUAGCCACACGGGAAUCGAACACGGUUCGAUCCACGGGGGGCAGCAUGAGGAUAUUGCACAUGGGGGAACCCUGAUGCAGCAACGCCGCGUGGAGGACGAAGGCAUUUUCGUAAAUCCUUUCUUUGGGAAAGAAAGGACGGUACCACAGGAACAAGUCACGGCUAAUACGCGCCAGCAGCCGCGGUAAUACGUAGGUGGCGAACGUCAUCCGGAAUACUGGGCGUAAAGCGCACGCAGGCCGUUUGAUAGUUUGAUGUGAAAGCUCAUGGCUUAACCGUGAGAGGUCAUCGGUACUUGUCAAAUUUGAGGCAAUGAGAGGGAUGCAAAUUUCCCGGUGUAUUGUUGGAAUGCGUAAUUUUCGGGAGGAAUACCAGUGGCGAAAGCGGCAUCCUGGCAUUUGUCCUGACGCUCCAUGUGCGAAAGCGUGGGUAGCGAACGGGAUUUAGAUACCCCGGUAGUCCACGCUGUAAACGAU